CUACGGGGCGCAGCAGUGGGGAAUAUUGGACAAUGGGGGAAACCCUGACCCAGCAAUGCCGCGUGUGUGAAGAAGGCCUGCGGGUUGUAAAGCACUUUCGGUUGGGAGGACUGCUUCUAGCACUAAUAUUGUUGGAAGUUGACGUUACCUUCAGAAGAAGCACCGGCUAACUCCGUGCCAGCAGCCGCGGUAAUACGGAGGGUGCAAGCGUUAAUCGGAAUUACUGGGCGUAAAGCGCGCGUAGGCGGCUAGAUCAGUCGGGUGUGAAAGCCCCGGGCUUAACCUGGGAACUGCAUCCGAUACUGUCUAGCUUGAGUACAGGAGAGGAGAGUGGAAUUCCACAUGUAGCGGUGAAAUGCGUAGAUAUGUGGAGGAACACCAAUGGCGAAGGCAGCUCUCUGGCCUGAUACUGACGCUGAGCUGCGAAAGCGUGGGGAGCAAACAGGAUUAGAUACCCGUGUAGUC
This 465-nucleotide ribosomal RNA is filed under the name uncultured bacterium. Its description in RNAcentral is "partial 16S ribosomal RNA". It matches the Rfam family "Bacterial small subunit ribosomal RNA", at positions 339 to 795 of the family's 1533-position model. The record is from RNAcentral.